AGUAAGUAUUUAUCUAUACCAGUAUGUAUACCUAUUGUCGCCUAGUACCAGUAGUACCCAUAUUACAAGCUUUGCUUAGUUUGAGUAUUGAUCUAUUUGUGAAAGAUUGUCCCCUAAUAUUUAUUUUAUUAUUUAUUAUUCCCCGUCUAACCCUACUUAAGCAAACAUAUCAUGUUUACAAGUUUGGUUAAGCUAGCUCUGCUUCAAUUGUGCCCUUCAAGUGUGUUCUCGCCAGACGUCGAGUCAAUAAUAAUUUUCAUAAGUCGUCUAUCAUUGAAUUACUUAAAGGUCAAAACACUGGCGUUUGUUGAACCUUUCUCAAUGUAGGUAUUCGAUUAUUUCAAUGAAAAAUAAAGUUAUUUCAGUAGGGCGACGCUCCUCCUUUCGGGCAUUCACGGCUCUGUUCUGUUCAGCAUUCUUCCGAGCAAUUAUUAGAUUUAAUUUAAUUCUUUAUAACAAUUAAACUGGAGAUACCACCUAUCCCAGCAAGGGCUGACUUGGAAAAUCCCCAGAAAAAGAGGGCAAGGUCGCCCACGUACCACCUGGAGGCGCACAGUGGAAAAGCAGGCUGCAUCUCGGCUGGGCGGAAAUUGAGGAGGCCGUGCUGGACCGUGAAAAAUGGAAAUCCCUUCCGAGAGUCCUAUGUCCCUGAUGAGGGAUAAGAGGAUACCAUCAUCAUCAUCAUCACUCAUACAUCUCAAGAUUUAAAAUAAUAAAUAAAUAAAUAUUAUAGGA
Molecule: long non-coding RNA, 735 nt
Organism: Cydia pomonella (codling moth)
Lineage: Eukaryota; Metazoa; Arthropoda; Insecta; Lepidoptera; Tortricidae
Exons: 2
Source: RefSeq, a predicted model, not a curated record